UUAACAUGUCGACCUGAUGGUGGCGCUAGAUGGAAAGUCAGAGGAUCAGCAGAGUUAUUACAGUUCAUCCUGAGGGGAGCAUGAACGAUGAAGCACGUCUCAUCACAGUCCAGCAGCUGCUGAUGCUUCAGUCUGAACAAAGUGGAGGACGGACGGACGUUAUGGUCCCUAUGGGAAAUCAGUAACAGGGACUCUGUUUCUGAACAAGCUGCAACGAUUAGUCGAUUAAUCGUUUAGUCAAUCGACAAAAUAAAUCAGCAAAUAUUUUAAUAAUUGAUUCAUCGUUUUCAGCCAGGUGAGCUACCAGGGCUGAGUAAUACCAGAGCAAUCAUUACGGCUGAGUCCUUAUCGCAGUGGCUCGGGUUCGAUCCCAACCCGCGGCCCUUUGCUGUCUAAUAAAGAAACAGCUUUUGGUCCCAGGUUCUCAAAUGUGAGAAUUUGCUUGGUAGUUGAAUUUUUUGCGAUGCAUCAUCAUUUUGUAUGUAUGUAAAGCUACUAGUUAAAUGUAGUGCAGUGAAAAGUCCAAUAUUUCCUCUGAGAUGUAGCAGAAGUACAAAGUGUCAUGAAAUGGGAAUACUCAAGUACAGUACGAGUACCUCACAUUUGUACUCAAGUACAGCACCGGAGUAAAUGUACUUAGUUACCUUCCAGCAGUGGACAUGACUGCAAACACCAGCUGUGACCAAUCAGCAGGUUUCACCUCAGAGGAAGAAAGAUUCACAACUUUGUUUUUAAUAUGAAACGUUUUCGGGGGUUUCAGCUGUUUUGUUUCCUGUUUCACCGACAUGUUUUACCUGUGAGUGAGUUUGCCUGCUCAGACUGUUUCGUUCCGAAGAGAUCAAACUAACCUGAAGUGUUUUACAAGAAGAAGAAGAAGAAGUUUUGUGAGGCAGAAUUUAGCUUUAAUAUUUCCUACAACAGUAAUCAUCUCUGGGCUUCAGUAUGCCAUGUGACGACAUCUGUCAUACAUAACGGAGUAUAAUUUAAUAAACAAAUGAUUACAGAUUCAACACAGGAGACAACACACACACACA
Siniperca chuatsi (mandarin fish) is the source of this 1034-nucleotide long non-coding RNA. RefSeq lists it as uncharacterized. The record is from RefSeq and is a predicted model, not a curated record. NCBI's taxonomy places the organism in Eukaryota, Metazoa, Chordata, Actinopteri, Centrarchiformes, Sinipercidae. The transcript is spliced from 2 exons.